This 90-nucleotide small RNA is filed under the name Flavobacterium sp. 102. RNAcentral's name for it is "Flavo-1 RNA". It matches the Rfam family "Flavo-1 RNA". Lineage: Bacteria; Pseudomonadati; Bacteroidota; Flavobacteriia; Flavobacteriales; Flavobacteriaceae. The record is from RNAcentral.
CCCUAGCCCGGAUAGUCCCGAAGUUUCGGGAGAAAUCCUUUUACUUUUUCUUUAAAAAGUAAAAGAUUGCAACGGAUAGCCGGAUUAGCA